Molecule: ribosomal RNA, 473 nt
Filed under: uncultured bacterium
Lineage: Bacteria
Description: bacterial SSU rRNA
Rfam family: Bacterial small subunit ribosomal RNA
Source: RNAcentral
AGAGUUUGAUCAUGGCUCAGAACGUACGCUGGCGGCACGCCUUAUACAUGCAAGUCGAACGAAGUAGCAAUACUUAGUGGCAGACGGGUGAGUAACAUGUAGGUAUCUUCCCUUUGGUGAGGAAUAACACGAGGAAACUUGUGCUAAUACCUCAUAAGUCUUUACGGAGAAAGCUUUAUGCGCCGAAGGAUGAGCCUGCACUUGAUUAGUUUGUUGGUGGGGUAAUGGCCUACCAAGACUUUGAUCUAUAGCUGAUCUGAGAGGAUGAUCAGCCACAUUGGGACUGAGACACGGCCCAAACUCCUACGGGAGGCAGCAGUAGGGAAUAUUGCACAAUGGAGGAAACUCUGAUGCAGCGAUGCCGCGUGAGUGAAGAAGGCCUUUGGGUUGUAAAGCUCUUUCGUCGGGGAAGAAAAUGACUGUACCCGAAUAAGAAGGUCCGGCUAACUUCGUGCCAGCAGCCGCGGUAAUAC